Molecule: ribosomal RNA, 163 nt
Filed under: Paphiopedilum tigrinum
Lineage: Eukaryota; Viridiplantae; Streptophyta; Magnoliopsida; Asparagales; Orchidaceae
Description: 5.8S ribosomal RNA
Rfam family: 5.8S ribosomal RNA
About the family: 5.8S ribosomal RNA (5.8S rRNA) is a component of the large subunit of the eukaryotic ribosome. It is transcribed by RNA polymerase I as part of the 45S precursor that also contains 18S and 28S rRNA.
Source: RNAcentral
UAACAACUCUCAGUAACGGAUAUCUCGGCUCUUGCAUCGAUGAAGAAUGCAGAAAAAUGCGAUAAAUGGUGUGAAUUGUAGAAUCCCGUGAACCAUCGAGUCUUUAAACGCAAGUUGCGCCCGAGGCCAUCAGGCCAAGGGCAUGCCUGCCUGGGCAUUACGA